CCCAGUAAACGGCGGCCGUAACUAUAACGGUCCUAAGGUAGCGAAAUUCCUUGUCGGGCAAGUUCCGACCUGCACGAAUGGCAUAACGAUGGCCACACUGUCUCCUCCUGAGACUCAGUGAAGUUGAAGUGUUUGUGAUGAUGCAAUCUCCCCGCGGCUAGACGGAAAGACCCCAUGAACCUUUACUGUAGCUUUGCAUUGGACUUUGAACCGAUCUGUGUAGGAUAGGCGGGAGCCUGUGAAACCACAACGCCAGUUGUGGCGGAGGCGUCCUUGAAAUACCGCCCUGAUUUGUUUGAGGUUCUAACCUGGGACAGUCAUCCUGUCCGGGGACCGUGCAUGGUAGGCAGUUUGACUGGGGCGGUCUCCUCCUAAAGGGUAACGGAGGAGUGCGAAGGUACGCUAGGUACGGUCGGAAAUCGUGCUGAUAGUGCAAUGGCAAAAGCGUGCUUGACUGCGAGACCCACAAGUCGAGCAGAUACGAAAGUAGGUCAUAGUGAUCCGGUGGCUCUGUAUGGAAGGGCCAUCGCUCAACGGAUAAAAGGUACUCUGGGGAUAACAGGCUGAUACCGCCCAAGAGUUCAUAUCGACGGCGGUGUUUGGCACCUCGAUGUCGGCUCAUCUCAUCCUGGGGCUGUAGCCGGUCCCAAGGGUAUGGCUGUUCGCCAUUUAAAGAGGUACGUGAGCUGGGUUUAAAACGUCGUGAGACAGUUUUGUCCCUAUCUGCCGUGGGCGCUGGAAGAUUGACGGGGGCUGCUCCUAGUACGAGAGGACCGGAGUGGACUCACCUCUGGUGUACCGGUUGUCACGCCAGUGGCAUCGCCGGGUAGCUAUGUGGGGAAGAGAUAACCGCUGAAAGCAUCUAAGCGGGAAACUUGCCUGAAGAUAAGUCUUCCUGGAGGCUAGACCUCCCUAAAGAGUCGUUCGAGACCAGGACGUUGAUAGGAUGGGUGUGUAAGUGCUGUGAGGCACUCAGCUAACCAUUACUAAUUGCUCGUGAAGCUUGAUCCU
Molecule: ribosomal RNA, 1011 nt
Filed under: human gut metagenome
Description: bacterial LSU rRNA
Rfam family: Bacterial large subunit ribosomal RNA
Source: RNAcentral